GAGGAAUGUAUAGCAAUAGCUACUUGUAUCAUUAAUGAUGCAAGCUCGACUAUGUUGAAUAAAAUUCUAGGUAGAAUUAUGAUAAUGACAUUGUCUGCCUAUGUGUCUUGACCAAAUUACGUGCCAGCAGUCGCGGUAAUACGUAGAAGACUAGUGUUAUUCAUGUUUAAUCGGUUUAAAGGGUACCUAGACGGUGAAUCAAGCUUUAAAAGAAUAAAAGGGACUAAUUCGCUAGAGUUACUUACGAGGGGGCUUUAAAGUACUGCUGGUGUAGAGAUGAAAUUCUGUCAUACCUCUUUUCGAAAGAAGAAUAACGGCACAGGUAUAGGCGAAGGCAUCCCCUUAUGUGAUAACUGACGUUGAGGGACGAAGGCUUCAUGUAACAAACAGGAUUAGAUACCCUAGUAGUUGAAAGCAGAAAAUGAUGAAUGUCAUAGAUUAGACGUCUAAGUUUAUUCUAUAAAUGAAAGUGUAAGCAUUCCACCUCAUGAGUAAUUUGGCAACAUUGGAAUUGAAAUCAUUAGACCGUUUCUGAAACCAGUAGUGAAGUAUGUUGUUUAAUUUGAUAAUCCGCAAAAAACCUUACCACAAUUUGAAUAUUUAUAUUAUUUAUUGUUAUCUUAUUAAUUUUCUUCCUUUUUUUACAUUAAUCAAAAACCAAACUAAGAAGAAAAAAAACCAAACAAAUAAAAAAAAACAAAGAGAAGAAAUAACAAAAAAGAGAAUAAAAUUAAUGAAGAGGCAAUAACAUAUAUCUACAAGCGUUGCACGGCUGUCUUCAGUUAAUGUCGCGAGACUUUGGUUAGUUCCAUUAAAUUAACGUAAACCCUUACUUUAUUUUUUAUAUAGAGUAGUUCCCCGCUAGAUUGGAUAUGAU
RNAcentral lists this ribosomal RNA (877 nucleotides) under Parmotrema haitiense. Its description in RNAcentral is "partial small subunit ribosomal RNA". It matches the Rfam family "Bacterial small subunit ribosomal RNA", at positions 356 to 1161 of the family's 1533-position model. The record is from RNAcentral. Lineage: Eukaryota; Fungi; Ascomycota; Lecanoromycetes; Lecanorales; Parmeliaceae.